GCAUGAAUAGAGGACAAAAGAGAAGCACUGGUGAAAAGUUCAUCAAAAAGCCUAAAGAGGACCUCCUUAAUAAGAGGCCAUGCCCGCUUAUAAAAGUAGAAAUUUGCACCAUCAAGGCCAGGAGCUUUAGAAGAAUCACAUUGCCAUACAGCUGAUUUUAUUUCUUCCAAAGAAAAAGGCAAUUCAAGACUCUCAGAAAUUUCUGAUGAAAGAGAUUGUAGACAUAUUAGGGAGCAUACCAGAAAAAGAACGCAAUUUACAAAAGCGAUCUUUAAAAUGGUCAACAAUGAUCCUCUUUAUUGAAGUUGCAUCAUGAAAAUGAAGGAAAUAAGCUUGUUAUGCCAGCUGUAGUGUCCACAGUUGCACGUACCCACUUUGCACGUUGUUCUGUUUCUGCCCACUUUGCACGUUGUUCUGUUUCUGCAUGUUUUGUUUAAUUGUUCAGCAUCCGUUUUUCCCUCAAUCCAUGAUUUAUGCAAUAUGGCGUGAUGCUCGGAUUGAAACUUGUUUUUCAGUUGUAAUUCUAGUAUAAAUAAGGCAAUAUCUCAAUGAAAGAAGAUGUGUUGAGUUCUCAAGAAAUUUGAGCUACAGCUUGAUUUCUCUGUCCUUAGCUACACUGCUCCUUUCUUAAAAAUUCUGCAGAAACUUCAAAUUUUGAAGUAAUAUCAACAGUUGCAGCAACCUCAUAAAGUUCAGGUCCACUGCUUUGCUUCCAUCUUUGGGUGAUCAUAUUCACAGUUUACACUUGGUAUCAAAGCCCGGGACCUAGUUUAUGCCCAAAUACAUGCCACGACACGAAGCUUCAUCGUCCAGUGUUGUCCGUAGUGGUAACAGCGGCAAUGGUGGUCAGACAAUAGAAACUAGACAGACGGCAGAAACGGUAGUGAGAGCACCCGUAAGAGAAGGGGGUGUCUCUCUGCAGUAUCCGCUCCUAACAAAGACAAAUUAUGCAGCUUGGGCAAUCAAGAUGCAAGUAUAUAUGCAAGCUCAAGGUGUUUGGGAUGUCGUUGAGUCAGAAGAUCCAGUUGAUCCUCGUUCAGACCGGAUUGCAUUGGCGGCAAUCUUUCAAGGGAUCAUCGAAGAUACCCUAUUACAGUUAGGGGUAAAGAAAUCAGCUAAAGAGGCAUGGGACGCUCUCAAGGUUAUGAACCUCGGUGUAGAGAGGGUCAAAGAAGUACAGGCACAAGCUCUCAGAUGGGAGCUCGAAAGCAUGAAGAUGGAGGUUGGUGAAUCCGUUGAUGAAUUCACUGGAAAGAUUUCGACAGUUGUCAACAAGCUCCGAGCUCUUGGUGAAAGGGUUGAUGAAAUGUAUGUAGUGAAGAAAAUGCUACGUUCAGUGUCCCCUAAAUACCUUCAGAUUGCCUCAACCAUAGAAGAAUUCGGGAACUUGUUUGUUAAGACAAUUGAAGAUAUAACUGGUUCUCUCAAAGCUCACGAGGAGAGGUUGUGGAGCUACGAUUCCAGAGGAGACGAAUAUGUGCUACUCACUAAAGGAGAGUGGAAAGCACGAGCGGAGUCCUUAAGAUCUAAUGAGAAGCACCCACAGGACGUGAGCAGAGGCCGGGGACGCGGACGCGGACGUGGUAGAGGACGCGGCAGAGGUAGAGGAGGUGGUCGCGGCAGGGGUUGUGGCCUUCCUGGAACAAGUCGAGGUCAGGAUGAUGAAGGACAACACCAUCAGAAGUUCGACAUUAAAAAGGUCAGGUGUUACAAUUGCAAUGAAUAUGGCCAUUUUCAAUCUGAUUGCAAAGCUGAAAGAAAGGAAAAAAAUGAGGCACAUUUAGUGGAGCAAUUUGAAGAGGAGUCGACGUUGUUAAUGCUAGAAACCAGUGAGCUGAUUCACAUUGGUGAAGAGAAAGAAAAAGAGCUAAUGCUGAAUGAAGAACAGAUGCAUGAUUUUGAAGGUGUAGAAAAAAAAGGAACCAUGUGGUACUAUGAUACGGGGGCAAGCAACCAUAUGACCGGCAACAAGCAGGCCUUAAUCGAUCUCGAUGAAACAAUCAAAGGGAAUGUCAAGUUUGGUGAUGGUUCCAUCAUCAAGGUAGAAGGCCGAGGCACUUUAGUGUUUCAGUGCAAGAAUGGAGAUCAUUUUAAAACUAACAAAUGUGUACUACAUUCCUCGAUUAAGAUCCAAUAUUAUAAGCCUUGGUCAACUCGACGAAUCAGGAGCAAAAGUGGUGGUGAAUGGAGGAAUUCUCAGAGUAUAUGAUGCAAAGGGUAGAUUGAUAGCCAAGGUGCAGAGAUCUAAAAAUCGUCUGUAUACGAUGAAGAUGAUACAAGCUAAAUCGGAGUGCCACUUGACAAGGUUGUCAGAAAAAUCUUGCUUAUGGCAUGCACGCUUUGGGCACUUGAACUAUCAAACUUUACGCAAGCUUGCACAAGAAAGCUUAGUGAAAGGUUUGCCGGAGAUAGAAACAGUGAAGUACAUUUGUGAACCUUGUGUGAUCAGCAAGCAGCAUCGCACAAGUUUCCCGAAAGCAGGAGAGUAUCAAGCAACUAAACCUCUAGAACUCAUGCAUGGUGAUCUGUGUGGGCCGAUAUCACCUACCACAUGCGGUGCAAAUAGGUAUUUUCUUUUGCUUGUGGAUGACUACAGUCGUUAUAUGUGGAUUGAAAUGCUUAGAAGUAAAGAUGAAGCUUUUAAUGCUUUCAAAAAAGUGAAAGCUCAGAUCGAAGUCCAGUCCGAUUGUAAGCUCAAAAUGUUUAGAACAGACAGAGGAGGUGAGUUUGCAUCGAAUGAGUUCGAAGAGUAUUGCAAGUUACAUGGCAUCAAACGCCAGCUCACUGCACCUUACUCCCCACAACAAAACGGUGUAGUAGAACGGAGAAACCAAACCGUAGUGGAGAUGAUGAGGUGUCUAUUAAACAGCUCCGGGGUGCCAGCUACAUAUUGGGGAGAAGCUGCACGUACUGCAGUAUACAUAUUGAACAGAUCACCUACAAAAAGUGUCCAAGGCAUGAUUCCGUAUCAAGCGUGGCAUGGAAGACUCCCAAGUGUUCAUCAUAUGCAUGUUUUUGGUUGCAUUGCAUAUGCCAAAAACACAGCUCCUCACUUGAGAAAAUUAGAUGACAGGAGCAUGAAGCUGGUUUUAUUGGGAUAUGAACCAGGGUCCAAAGCAUAUCGAUUAUUGAAUCCAAAUUCUAACCGAAUUGUGGUAAGUCGGGAUGUUGUGUUUCAGGAAGAAGAGAAGUGGAAAUGGCAAGGCCAGACGACAUCAAACUCCACAGCAGAAGGACCACUUGUCAUCACAUACAAGGAAGCACAAAUGCAAGAAGACAAAAACCUCCGAAGUCAGGAACUGACGCCAACUUCCUUAUCACCUAUAGCCGAGUCAAAUCCAGAACAUUUAGAGACAGGAGAAAGCAGCUCGGAGGGACCAAGGAGAUUCAGGACUCUUCAAGAAAUUUAUGACAACACAGUGGAGGUCGACCAAGACUACGGUCUUUACCUGAUGUCAAUUGAAGAACCAGCAUCUUACCAUGAAGCUGCCUGCAGUGAACAUUGGCGACAAGCAAUGAUAGAAGAAAUGGAGGCUAUCCGGAGAAACGGAACAUGGGAACUAGCAGAACUCCCAAAGGACCAGAGAGCUAUUGGUCUGAAAUGGAUCUUCAAAGUAAAGAAGAAUCCAGAAGGGGAGAUCAUUAAAUAUAAAGCAAGACUUGUUGCAAAGGGGUAUGUGCAGAAACAAGGCAUAGACUUUGAACAAGUCUUUGCUCCCGUAGCCAGGCUGGAGACUGUGAGAGUAUUACUUGCUGUAGCCGCUCAAGAAGGCUGGAUAGUGCAUCAUAUGGAUGUCAAAUCUGCAUUCUUGAAUGGUGAGAUAGAAGAAGAGGUUUAUGUGACACAACCAGACGGAUUCAUUGAACAAUGAGAGGAAGGAAAGGUUCUGAAACUACGAAAGGCCCUGUAUGGUCUUAAAAAGGCGCCUCAGGCAUGGAAUAUAAAGCUAGACAAAUGUUUCCGAGAGCUGGGGUUUCAAAGAUGUAUGAUCGAACAUGCAGUCUACAAGAAACACGAAGGAGAUGAAGUGCAUAUUGUAGGAGUGUACGUAGAUGAUCUGAUAAUCAUGGGCUCAAAGCUGAGAGGAGUGGAGAAUUUCAAAGCCAAGAUGAGAAAGAUCUUCGAGAUGAGUGAUCUUGGGAUGCUAAGCUACUACCUGGGUAUAGAAGUCAAGCAAAAGCCGUAUAGCAUCACCCUUAACCAGUCAGGGUAUGCUGAGAAGAUGCUCGAGAAGCUUGGCCUGGCUGAGUGCAAGCCAUGUCGGGUUCCAAUGGAUACACGGGUGAAGCUGAGCAAGUCAGAUGGAAGUCCUCCGGUAGAUGCAACACUAUACAGGAGUGCAAUCGGAAGUUUGAGGUAUUUGGUGAACACUCGACCCGAUCUUGCAUAUUCAGUUGGAAUUGUAAGUCGUUUCAUGGAAGCCCCAACAACGAAACAUCUAGCAGCCGUAAAACAGAUAUUGCGUUAUGUGAAAGGCACUUUACAUCAUAGGUGCAUAUACAACAAGGUGGAAGAGGAGGAGUUCAAGCUAGUAGGCUAUAGCGACAGUGACUUAGCCGGAGACGUAGAUGAUCGAAAAAGCACGACAGGAGUAAUCUACUUCCUCGGCCAAAGCCCUGUCACUUGGAUUUCUCAGAAACAGAAAGUUGUAGCCUUAUCCUCUUAUGAAGCCGAGUAUAUUGCUGCAACAGCAGGAGCUUGUCAAGGCAUAUGGAUUAGUAGGCUGUUACAUGAAUUGAUCGGUUGGAAGACAAACAAGUUUGUGUUAAGAGUUGACAACAAGUCUGCAAUAGCUCUCUCAAAGAAUCCCGUCCACCAUAACAGAAUCAAGCACAUAGAUUUUAAGUUUCAUUUCAUUCGGGAGUGUGUCCAAAGAGAAGAAGUCGAAAUCAAGUAUGUAAAAACUGAAUCACAACUCGCUGAUAUUCUGACAAAGCCACUGUCCCGAGACAAGAUCGACGAGUUGAGCAUGAUGAUUGGGAUCAAAGAUGUGAAGAACAAGCUUACGGGGGAGAAAUGAAGGAAAUAAGCUUGUUAUGCCAACUGUAGUGCCCACAGUUGCACGUACCCACUUUGCACGUUGUUCUGUUUCUGCCCACUUUGCACGUUGUUCUGUUUCUGCAUGUUUUGUUUAAUUGUUCAGCAUCCGUUUUUCCCUCAAUCCAUGAUUCAUGCAAUAUGGCGUGAUGCUUGGAUUGAAACUUGUUUUUCAGUUGUAAUUCUAGUAUAAAUAAGGCAAUAUCUCAAUGAAAGAAGAUGUGUUGAGUUCUCAAGAAAUUUGAGCUACAGCUUGAUUUCUCUGUCCUUAGCUACACUGCUCCUUUCUUAAAAAUUCUGCAGAAACUUCAAAUUUUGAAGUAAUAUCAACAGUUGCAGCAACCUCAUAAAGUUCAGGUCCACUGCUUCGCUUCCAUCUUUAGGUGAUCAUAUUCACAGUUUACAGAAAUGACACAUCUCUAUCUGAGUUUUUGAGGAUGGUAUUCGAACACUAUAAAUGAAAAAAAUCUUGUAUUUUUAUCCCCUAAUUUACACUAAGCCAUACGAUCUUUUUGUCUUUAAAUACUUUCACAACGAGGAGUAUAAGAAGCUUUAUCAGCC
Molecule: long non-coding RNA, 5599 nt
Filed under: Manihot esculenta (cassava)
Lineage: Eukaryota; Viridiplantae; Streptophyta; Magnoliopsida; Malpighiales; Euphorbiaceae
Description: long non-coding RNA (MESC_LNC003342)
Source: RNAcentral